UGCAGUCGACGAACUUCCGUUAAUUGAUUAUGACGUGCUUGCACUGAAUGAGAUUUUAACACGAAGUGAGUGGCGGACGGGUGAGUAACACGUGGGUAACCUGCCCAGAAGCAGGGGAUAACACCUGGAAACAGAUGCUAAUACCGUAUAACAGAGAAAACCGCCUGGUUUUCUUUUAAAAGAUGGCUCUGCUAUCACUUCUGGAUGGACCCGCGGCGCAUUAGCUAGUUGGUGAGGUAACGGCUCACCAAGGCGAUGAUGCGUAGCCGACCUGAGAGGGUAAUCGGCCACAUUGGGACUGAGACACGGCCCAGACUCCUACGGGAGGCAGCAGUAGGGAAUCUUCCACAAUGGACGCAAGUCUGAUGGAGCAACGCCGCGUGAGUGAAGAAGGGUUUCGGCUCGUAAAGCUCUGUUGUUAAAGAAGAACGUGGGUGAGAGUAACUGUUCACCCAGUGACGGUAUUUAACCAGAAAGCCACGGCUAACUACGUGCCAGCAGCCGCGGU
Molecule: ribosomal RNA, 508 nt
Filed under: Pediococcus acidilactici
Lineage: Bacteria; Bacillati; Bacillota; Bacilli; Lactobacillales; Lactobacillaceae
Description: bacterial SSU rRNA
Rfam family: Bacterial small subunit ribosomal RNA
Source: RNAcentral